RNAcentral lists this ribosomal RNA (279 nucleotides) under Xerocomellus pruinatus. RNAcentral's name for it is "partial 28S ribosomal RNA". It matches the Rfam family "Eukaryotic large subunit ribosomal RNA", at positions 3119 to 3401 of the family's 3401-position model. The record is from RNAcentral. Lineage: Eukaryota; Fungi; Basidiomycota; Agaricomycetes; Boletales; Boletaceae.
UCUGAACCGCCUCUAAGUCAGAAUCCGUGCUGGAAGUGACGAUGUUUUGGUCCCGCACAUGUAAAUGGAGUUGAGAUAGAGCUUUGCUCGUGAACCAAAUCAGGUGGGCUAGGCUCGUCGGACGGAAACGUCUGGCGGGUUCGUCUACGAAUUGCAAUCAUGAUAUGCGCGGGGGUGAAUCCUUUGCAGACGACUUGAAUGGGAACGGGGUACUGUAAGCGGUAGAGUAGCCUUGUUGCUACGAUCCGCUGAGGUUAAGCCCUUGUUCUAUAGAUUUGU